RNAcentral lists this ribosomal RNA (465 nucleotides) under uncultured bacterium. RNAcentral's name for it is "partial 16S ribosomal RNA". It matches the Rfam family "Bacterial small subunit ribosomal RNA", at positions 28 to 507 of the family's 1533-position model. The record is from RNAcentral.
GACGAACGCUGGCGGCGUGCUUAACACAUGCAAGUCGAACGGAAAGGCCCUGCUUGCAGGGUACUCGAGUGGCGAACGGGUGAGUAACACGUGGGUGAUCUGCCCUGCACUUCGGGAUAAGCCUGGGAAACUGGGUCUAAUACCGGAUAGGAGCCAUUUUUAGCGUGAUGGUUGGAAAGUUUUUUCGGUGUGGGGUGAGCUCGCGGCCUAUCAGCUUGUUGGUGGGGUAAUGGCCUACCAAGGCGGCGACGGGUAGCCGGCCUGAGCGGGUGGACGGCCACAUUGGGUCUGAGGUACGGCCCAGCCUCCUACGGGAGGCAGCAGUGGGGAAUCUUGCACAAUGGGCGCCAGCCUGAUGCAGCGACGCCGCGUGGGGGAUGACGGCCUUCGGGUUGUAAACUCCUUUCGCUAGGGACGAAGCUUUUUGUGACGGUACCUAGAUAAGAAGCACCGGCUAACUACGUG